UGGAGUUUGAUCAUGGCUCAGAUUGAACGCUGGCGGCAUGCCUUACACAUGCAAGUCGAACGGCAGCACGGGAGCAAUCCUGGUGGCGAGUGGCGAACGGGUGAGUAAUACAUCGGAACGUGCCCAGUAGUGGGGGAUAACCCGGCGAAAGCCGGACUAAUACCGCAUACGACCUACGGGUGAAAGCAGGGGAUCGCAAGACCUUGCGCUAUCGGAGCGGCCGAUGUCAGAUUAGCUUGUUGGCGGGGUAAAAGCCCACCAAGGCGACGAUCUGUAGCUGGUCUGAGAGGACGACCAGCCACACUGGGACUGAGACACGGCCCAGACUCCUACGGGAGGCAGCAGUGGGGAAUUUUGGACAAUGGGCGCAAGCCUGAUCCAGCCAUGCCGCGUGCGGGAAGAAGGCCUUCGGGUUGUAAACCGCUUUUGUCAGGGAAGAAACGCUCCGGGUUAAUACCCCGGAGUAAUGACGGUACCUGAAGAAUAAGCACCGGCUAACUACGUGCCAGCAGCCGCGGUAAUACGUAGGGUGCAAGCGUUAAUCGGAAUUACUGGGCGUAAAGCGUGCGCAGGCGGUUCGCUAAGACAGAUGUGAAAUCCCCGGGCUUAACCUGGGAACUGCAUUUGUGACUGGCGGGCUAGAGUAUGGCAGAGGGGGGUAGAAUUCCACGUGUAGCAGUGAAAUGCGUUCACACAGG
This 698-nucleotide ribosomal RNA is filed under the name uncultured bacterium. Its description in RNAcentral is "bacterial SSU rRNA". It matches the Rfam family "Bacterial small subunit ribosomal RNA", at positions 1 to 700 of the family's 1533-position model. The record is from RNAcentral.